RNAcentral lists this unclassified non-coding RNA (554 nucleotides) under Hevea brasiliensis (rubber tree). Lineage: Eukaryota; Viridiplantae; Streptophyta; Magnoliopsida; Malpighiales; Euphorbiaceae. The record is from RNAcentral.
UUGUUUAUUCUUUUUUUUUUUUUUAUCAGAAACAGUUAUCACGCUACAUAAAACUUUCAAGGUCACCCUACCUUCAGCUUACUUUCUCGGUCUCGCAAGAAUGCAGUAACCAGAGUGUAAGCAACAAUUACAUGCCUCCAACAACAAACUCCUAUUGCCAAUAGGCAAAACCAUGAUAUAUAUGAUGCCACUAUCAUAGUCUCCCUUUUGAGUGAGGCCUAAUAGCUAUUUCACUCCUAUAUAAAGCUUAUGGUUAUUCCCCUGAGCUUUAUUGCUUUCCUAAAUUAAUCAUUUUCCACUCUUUGUUGAGUAGCACAUUCCCCAGACGAUACAGAGUUGGAUGGUUGGAGAAAAUGAUUUUAGAUUUUGAAAGACUUGCCAGUUAGUCCUAGACUGCCUAGAGUCGACAGGAUAGCAAGAAAGAAAAGGCACUGAUGGAACUGAUUCAACUGUGUUUAUCAAAUAGUGCAUAAAAAAGUUUAUGCCCCCCACAAAACAAAGUGUUCUGCAUGUUUAUGAAAUUAUGAUUGAGAUAGGAGCAAAAUUUUGCUUAC